This 254-nucleotide ribosomal RNA is filed under the name uncultured bacterium. RNAcentral describes it as "partial 16S ribosomal RNA". It matches the Rfam family "Bacterial small subunit ribosomal RNA", at positions 524 to 776 of the family's 1533-position model. The record is from RNAcentral.
UACGUAGGUGGCAAGCGUUUAUCCGGAAUUAUUGGGCGUAAAGCGCGCGCAGGUGGUUUCUUAAGUCUGAUGUGAAAGCCCACGGCUCAACCGUGGAGGGUCAUUGGAAACUGGGAGACUUGAGUGCAGAAGAGGAAAGUGGAAUUCCAUGUGUAGCGGUGAAAUGCGUAGAGAUAUGGAGGAACACCAGUGGCGAAGGCGACUUUCUGGUCUGUAACUGACACUGAGGCGCGAAAGCGUGGGGAGCAAACAGG